Molecule: ribosomal RNA, 497 nt
Filed under: uncultured bacterium
Lineage: Bacteria
Description: partial 16S ribosomal RNA
Rfam family: Bacterial small subunit ribosomal RNA
Source: RNAcentral
GAUGAACGCUGGCGGCGUGCCUAAUACAUGCAAGUCGAGCGAACAGACGCGGCGUUUGCGCCUCUGACGUUAGCGGCGGACGUGUGAGUAACACGUGGAUAACCCACCUAUAAGACGGGGAUAACCUCGGGAAACCGGAGCUAACAGCGUAUAAUAUAUUGCACCGCAUGGUUCAAUAGUGAAAUACGGCUUUGCGGUCUCUUAUAGAUGCAUCCGCGCCGCAUUAGCUAGUUGUUACGGUAACGGCUUACCAAGGCAACCAUGCGUAGCCGACCUGAGGGGGUGAUAGGCCACCCUGGAACUGGAACGGGGACAAGAGUACUGAGGGAGGCAGCAGAAGGGAAUGUUACGCAAUGGGCGAAAGUCUGACAGAGCAAGGCCAAGUCAGUGGUGGAGGUGUUCGGAGCGUAAAAAUCGGUUAUGAGGGAAGAACAGAUGUGGAAGUAAAUGAGGCCGUAUUGACGGUACCGGAUCAGAAAGCAACGGCUAACUACGUG